GGCAGUUAGAAAAAGCGUAAGAUUACUUAAAAAUAAACCGUAAGGGCUGUUCCGGGAAUUGAACCCGGGACCUCUCGCACCCGAAGCGAGAAUCAUACCACUAGACUAAACAGCCUGUCCCCUUGAACCAGUGAGAUUCCGAGCCUUCGACACACCUACCGUGGUGGGCAUCUUCCAGGAGGCGAAGCAGGAUUGAGACUCCAAUUACCACACAGAGGCAUCAUGUACCAUAUUUUGGAACCGAUAACAAUGAAUAUGACUUGUAGUAGACGGUAGCGAAUUUCGUGUGCUCGUUCCAAUGGGGUAGUGGGGGAUGGUCUCUACCGAACGCUGUGUGGUGUUUACGGGAAUACUCGCGUUGGAAGUCUGGCUUCGUGUUCGCGUACCGGUGUUGCAGCUGCUGGCCCUGUUCCUCUGUCUCUUUCAAUCACUCAGAACCUGCCUUUAAAAGGGCUCGUUUCGAUCUCUUUUCUAGUAAUGGACCAGAGUACCUGCUAGCGAUCUCCAUAAUCAUAACCGUGCCCGUUAAUCCGCAAGAUGGUGUCCCCGGGGCAGGUGUCGAAGGUAGUGCUGCUAUAACGCAUGCUCUUUUUCAGCAAUCAAGAGACGCCGAUAAAAAGUUUUCAACGCUUGUACCAGCUUUUAUUGCCUGGUCUUUCGAUUAUUCAAAGCAACCUUGCUACUCUUUCCGCUCAGCAUGUGAUGCGAUCAACGUUAUCAAGUGGUCGUCUUUUCGUGUACUUUAUCAUAAAUGUUUGACCUGCUUGGAUUUAGUGGUAUCAAAUGCCUCUUGAUGAGCUGUGCCAUUUGCAAAGAAACAAUAAUGACGCAGAACUGCC
This 839-nucleotide transfer RNA is filed under the name Toxoplasma gondii VEG. The record is from RNAcentral. Lineage: Eukaryota; Apicomplexa; Conoidasida; Eucoccidiorida; Sarcocystidae.